UAUUAAAGUGGCAGACAAAAUGCAAGGAAUUUAAGCUUCCUUUAUGAAUUUCUUCCUUUAAUAA
This 64-nucleotide transfer RNA is filed under the name Hyalomma truncatum. RNAcentral's name for it is "tRNA-Leu". The record is from RNAcentral. Lineage: Eukaryota; Metazoa; Arthropoda; Arachnida; Ixodida; Ixodidae.